AACCGACGCAGCCCAGUGAGCGGGCUUCCUAGUUGCUGGCGGGUCUCCUCCUGCCUGGAUUCCCAUUUCUCUCCCUGCGGCUUCCAGGGGCCCACAACAGCUCCUGAAAAAUGAACACAUUGGGCUCAGCUUACCUGCUCAGCGGGCUUUAUGCAGUAUUUUGCCUGUCUAUGUCUGCGUACAGACCACGUGAGUGCUUGGUGCCCGUAGAGGCCAGAAGAGAGCAUUGGAUCCCCUGGAAGUGAUGCUGCAGAAAGCUGUGAACUCCUGUGUGGGUGCUGGAAUUGAAUCCAGGUCCUAUGGAAGCCCAGUCAGUGGUCUUAGCCACAGAGCCAUCCUCCAGACCUUACUGUCUCUUUUUAGCAGCUGAUUGAAAUAUUCCCUAAUAUUAAUUCCUAGUGAGCAAGUAACUAUCCACCUGCAAGCUUGCUAAAGAAACCUAAGACACCCAAGACCAAGUGAGUGAGCACUGGCAUGCACUCGCUCACAAUUCCACACUCCCUACGUGAGGAGCGGUUAGAAUUUAUUAACUUACCUGCAUUCCCUCUUCCCAACGCGUCUCCAACUGGGUUUCUAUGAGUGCUUUCCAAUUCAGUGUGGCUACACUUUCUACCAUGUUCUUCCUCUUGCUUUAUAAAAGAUUUUAAAAUAGUGAUUAAAUAAUGUUUUUGUUACUACAGAAA
Long non-coding RNA from Mastomys coucha (southern multimammate mouse), 683 nucleotides. RefSeq lists it as uncharacterized. NCBI's taxonomy places the organism in Eukaryota, Metazoa, Chordata, Mammalia, Rodentia, Muridae. The transcript has 2 exons. The record is from RefSeq and is a predicted model, not a curated record.